GUGUUGGAAUACCAUUUCCCAUACGAUCACCAAAAUUAAACUUUGUUGAGCCUGGUCAGUACAUACAUGGGUGACUGCUUGGGAAUACCACAUGCUGUAAG
Molecule: non-coding RNA, 101 nt
Organism: Acanthosepion pharaonis
Lineage: Eukaryota; Metazoa; Mollusca; Cephalopoda; Sepiida; Sepiidae
Source: the annotation of a GenBank genome assembly